Non-coding RNA from Cyanistes caeruleus (blue tit), 2741 nucleotides. NCBI's taxonomy places the organism in Eukaryota, Metazoa, Chordata, Aves, Passeriformes, Paridae. The record is from RefSeq and is a predicted model, not a curated record.
GACGGCUGGUGGCGUGGGACCCUCCCCGCGUGGGCAUCCCCCCUGGGAGGGGACUCUCCUCUGAGCCACCUUGGGAUUGAGUCCUCUGGGUAGAAGUGUCAGGAGUGGGGACCCUGCCCCAAGGCAAGGGGGGGCUCGUGACCCCUCAGUCCUGGUGGAGACAGGAGCUCUGCUGAGCCCACACCCCCAGGCCACCUCCACUGCAGGUGUCCUCGUGUGGCUCCAGGCAGCUUUUCUUACUCAGCAGCGAGAAGGGGGUGGUGAUGGUGAGCAGCCAGCAGCCCUGGGAGCAGCAUCUCAGCAGCCCCCGGGGCCUGAGGGUGCCAGGGAAGGCUGCAGCCCCUGCCCGGAGCAGGCUGGGCGUGCUCCAGGGGGGUCCUGCUGGGAGUGAGGGUCCCCUGAGCUGGAGGCUCAGGGGCAGCUCGCAGGGGCGGGGAGGGGGGCGUAUUUAUUUGAUUUCAUGCACUCUUUUGCCAUUGAGUUUUUGCGUUGAAAGGAAGAAAGGGGCGAGCUUAGGGAGAGGAGAGAGAGAGGCCACGGGCAGUGCUGGUGGCUGUGCCCCAUCACGUGGCUCAUCUUGGAUGGUGGGGUGAAAGCUGGGGGGCUGUGAUGUGGGUCAUCCUCGAGGAGGGGCUGUGUGUGUGUGGGGAGGGGGGGAUGUGGGUGCCAGGCCUCUGGAUGCAGCGUGGGGUCCAUCCUGCUCCAAGCUCGGGUGACCCACAUUGCUCAGGGAGGUGCCACAGGGUCCCCAGCCAGGGCUGUGGGGCUCCUGUGGGGUCAGUGCCACCAUGCCUGUCCCAGUGUCUCACUGCCCACCCCAGGGGUGCCAGGAGAGCCGAUCCAGGAGCUGUCAGCAAGAGGGGUGCACCCACCUGCCAGGGGCUGGGGCUCCAUGAGGAUGGGGACCAUGUGGUCCUGCUGUGUGUCAGGACCCCAGACUGACCCCGCUGCCCCAUGGGGCAGGAACAGGCCAGGGAUGUCCAUCCCACACAGCUGCCAGGAGCAGCAAGGUUUUGGGGGGGUUCAGGCUGGUGACCAGCAGGAGCAGCUGGUCUGGAGAUGAUGGAGGGGCUGGCAGGAGGUGGUGGGAGCUGCUGCUGUGUCCCGUGGGGUCUCUGCUGCGCCAUCCUUUCUCCUGGGCAGCUCUCUGUGACCCCCAGGCCCUGGCUUGCAGCAGGGUCAGUGCACUGAACCAGCACAUUUCCCCAGCCCAGCUCUUCCCUCCUUGCCCCAGCACCAGCUCCUCUGCCACGGAGCAGCUGCUGGGUCCCAGCCAGCCCCAGGGGCAGGGUGACCCACGGGUGGCACCUCCUGCUCCUGUCCUGACCCACGCGGCUGUGGCAGAGCGUGACAGAGGAGCCCCAUGUGCCACCGCUCCCCUUCACCCGGGGCACACGGCAGGCACGGUCUCUAAAGACAUUCUUACGAGUUAAUUAAUUAUGUUUACAUUAUUUGAUCAUGUACAGAAUUUAAUAUAUUCUAUUAUAUAUAAUCUUUCUUGAAUGCUUUUUUAAAAAGGAUUAUUCUUUGGUCAGGAUCAUUACCGCAUUCCUUUUAUACAUCACCUCUCGUUUCAGGCAUCUUUCAAAUCCUUGGAAACCGAUUGCAAGUGGUUAUUUUAUCCCUGACCCCCCAGUUCAGCACGUGGGUGUGAGGGACCCAGAGGCAGGAGGGCAGCUCUGGCUGCCCUGGAGGAGAUGGGGGGCUCUGCCCCCCAGGAAUGGGAGAAAGGGAAGGGGUCCUGGCUUUUCCAGGCACAGAUCCAGCAGCACACCAAUGCUGGGCAGGCAUUUGGAGAUGGGAUUCUCCCACGCAGGGAGCUCCCCGAGCCCCCUUCGGUGUCACGGCCACGGGCCGGCCAUCACCGUGGCGGGAGGAAAACGUCCCCUCGUCCCGCAGCCGCCCCCGCGCCCCUGCCCCUGCGUGGGCACGGCCCCUCGCCAAGCUGUCGUGUGGUUCGUGACCGUGGGGUUGUCGUGUGUGCGGUGCAGUCGUGUCGGUAACGUCGUGUGUUCAGUGGUCGUGCGGGGCGAGGGGCGGCGGGGGCAGGCACGGGCACCCCCGAGCGCUGGCACCCCGGGGGCUGCGGGGACAGGUGACCAAAGGACCCGGGCACGUGGGGACAGGUGACCGAAGGACCCAGGGCCAUGGGAACAGGUGACCGAAGGACCUGGGCACAUGGGGACAGGUGACCAAAGGACCCAGGCAUGUGGGGACAGGUGACCAAAGGACCUGGGCAUGUGGGGCUGCGGUGGUCAGGUGCAGACAGACUGAGGGUGUGGGGCAGGCAGGUCCUGGGGCUGUGCCACCACUGCCACUGUGGUUGUGGGCGACACCAGGGCUUUGUGUCGCCGGCUGAGGCUCCAGGUUCCCUCUCUGGAAUCAGCAAGGUCACCUCAUGUCCCACCACACUCAGCUUCAUCCUCCCUUCUCCAUCACCCCCUUCCCUCUGGGACCAGGAGCUGCCUCUGCUCCCGCCCUGCCCUGCCUGGAGCCGGUGUGGGGGACACCCGAGGGCCCCCCCGGGCUGCUUCCCCCGGCGGUUUUGGGUCCUUUCCCUCGUAUUUAUAGCUGUACAGACUGGGGGGGAGGGUCGGAGGCGUCAUCUCUCACAGCAUCUAUCGUAGGCAAUGGUAACUUUCUUGGUUGUGCUAUUAGAGUUUGUGUAUGUGGCAAUGUAAAGAACUGUGUAUAGUGCAUUGUACAGCAUAUUUUCAUGAAUAAAAUUGUUUUAAAUAUUA